RNAcentral lists this ribosomal RNA (252 nucleotides) under Butyricimonas virosa. Its description in RNAcentral is "partial 16S ribosomal RNA". It matches the Rfam family "Bacterial small subunit ribosomal RNA", at positions 524 to 776 of the family's 1533-position model. The record is from RNAcentral. Lineage: Bacteria; Pseudomonadati; Bacteroidota; Bacteroidia; Bacteroidales; Odoribacteraceae.
UACGGGGGAUGCGAGCGUUAUCCGGAUUUAUUGGGUUUAAAGGGCGCGUAGGCGGGACGGCAAGUCAGCGGUAAAAGACUGCAGCUAAACUGUAGCACGCCGUUGAAACUGUUGACCUGGAGACGAGACGAGGGAGGCGGAACAAGUGAAGUAGCGGUGAAAUGCAUAGAUAUCACUUGGAACCCCGAUAGCGAAGGCAGCUUCCCAGGCUCGUUCUGACGCUGAUGCGCGAGAGCGUGGGUAGCGAACAGG